CCAAUAGCGUAUAUUAAAGUUGUUGCAGUUAAAAAGCUCGUAGUUGAAUUUCGGGAUCAAUAUAUCGGUCGUGCCUUGGUACGUACUGGUAUCAUUGGUCUCUCCUUUCUGACGAACCAUGAUGUCAUUAAUUUGGUGUUAUGGGAAGUUAGGACUGUUACUUUGAAAAAAUUAGAGUGUUUAAAGCAGGCUUUGGCUUGAAUACAUUAGCAUGGAAUAAUGAAAUAGGACGUUCGAACCUAUUUUGUUGGUUUCUAGGAUCAACGUAAUGAUUAAUAGGGAUAGUUGGGGGCAUUAGUAUUCAAUUGUCAGAGGUGAAAUUCUUGGAUUUAUUGAAGACUAACUAAUGCGAAAGCAUUUGCCAAGGAUGUUUUCAUUAAUCAAGAACGAAAGUUAGGGGAUCGAAGACGAUCAGAUACCGUCGUAGUCUUAACCAUAAACUAUGCCGACUAGGGAUCGGAUGAUGUUAAUUUUUUAAUGACUCAUUCGGCGCCUUACG
This 499-nucleotide ribosomal RNA is filed under the name uncultured Glomeromycotina. RNAcentral describes it as "partial small subunit ribosomal RNA". It matches the Rfam family "Eukaryotic small subunit ribosomal RNA", at positions 591 to 1092 of the family's 1831-position model. Lineage: Eukaryota; Fungi; Glomeromycota. The record is from RNAcentral.